This is a non-coding RNA of Gossypium arboreum, 58 nucleotides long. Lineage: Eukaryota; Viridiplantae; Streptophyta; Magnoliopsida; Malvales; Malvaceae. The record is from Rfam.
CCAACGGUUCUGCUACUUCACAUAUAAGAACCACCCAAUAUACACAAUCAAUUAGCAG